Molecule: ribosomal RNA, 557 nt
Filed under: uncultured archaeon
Lineage: Archaea
Description: bacterial SSU rRNA
Rfam family: Archaeal small subunit ribosomal RNA
Source: RNAcentral
CUCGAGGCCAGAUCUUUCCGGUUGAUCCCGCCGGACCUGACUGCUAUCGGAUUGAUACUAAGCCAUGCGAGUCUUUGUAGCAAUACAAGGCAGACGGCUCAGUAACACGUAGUCAAUCUACCCUAUGGACGGGGAUAACCUCGGGAAACUGAGAAUAAUACCCGAUAGAUCAUUAUGCCUGGAAUGGUUUAUGGUCGAAAUGAUUUAUCGCCGUAGGAUGGGACUGCGGUCUAUCAGCUUGUUGGUGAGGUAAUGGCCCACCAAGGCUAUAACAGAUACGGGCUCUGAGAGGAGAAGCCCGGAGAUGGGUACUGAGACACGGACCCAGGCCCUAUGGGGCGCAGCAGGCGAGAAAACUUUGCAAUGUGCGAAAGCACGACAAGGUUAAUCCGAGUGUUUUCUGCUAAAGAAAUCUUUUGUCAGUCCUAAAAACACUGAUGAAUAAGGGGUGGGCAAGUUCUGGUGUCAGCAGCCGCGGUAAAACCAGCACCUCAAGUGGUCAGGAGGAUUAUUGGGCCUAAAGCAUCCGUAGCCGGCCGUGUAAGUUUUCGGUUAAA